AUACGGAGGGUGCAAGCGUUAUCCGGAAUCAUUGGGUUUAAAGGGUCCGUAGGCGGGCUAAUAAGUCAGGGGUGAAAUCCCACAGCUUAACUGUGGAACUGCCCUUGAUACUGUUGGUCUUGAGUUACCGUGAAGUGGUUAGAAUGUGUAGUGUAGCGGUGAAAUGCAUAGAGAUUACACAGAAUACCGAUUGCGAAGGCAGAUCACUAACUGUAUACUGACGCUAAUGGACGAAAGCGUGGGGAGCGAACAGGAUUAGAAACCCUAGUAGUCC
RNAcentral lists this ribosomal RNA (274 nucleotides) under uncultured bacterium. RNAcentral describes it as "partial 16S ribosomal RNA". It matches the Rfam family "Bacterial small subunit ribosomal RNA", at positions 523 to 796 of the family's 1533-position model. The record is from RNAcentral.